RNAcentral lists this ribosomal RNA (237 nucleotides) under uncultured bacterium. RNAcentral's name for it is "partial 16S ribosomal RNA". It matches the Rfam family "Bacterial small subunit ribosomal RNA", at positions 8 to 224 of the family's 1533-position model. The record is from RNAcentral.
AGAGUUUGAUCAUGGCUCAGGACGAACGCUGGCGGCGUGCUUAACACAUGCAAGUCGAACGGAGAAUCGUGCGGAACGAGGAUUCGUCCAAGUGAAGCAGAGGACAGUGGCGGACGGGUGAGUAACGCGUGAGGAACCUGCCUUUCAGAGGGGGACAACAGUUGGAAACGACUGCUAAUACCGCAUGACACAUAGAUGUACGCAUUGGCAUUUAUGUCAAAGAUUUAUCGCUGAAAG